This 463-nucleotide long non-coding RNA is filed under the name Pan troglodytes (chimpanzee). RNAcentral's name for it is "lncRNA (ENSPTRG00000054328.1)". Lineage: Eukaryota; Metazoa; Chordata; Mammalia; Primates; Hominidae. The record is from RNAcentral.
GCCAAGGGAGGGCCCAGACCGAAGAAGGUUUGGUGGAUAGCAGAACCUUUUUGUCUCCCUCUAAUUGCUCCUAAGCCUCACGCUCCCUUGCCCCGCGUGUCCUGUUGCUUCCCUGAUCUUCUCCGUGACCUGUAGCUAAACCUUCCACCAGCGCUUGAGAACUUAAUUUGUACCGGAUCCUUUCCCAGACCCCUUUCUUCUCCUCCUCCUCCACCUCCUCCAGGGCGCCCUGAAAGGACCAGGACAUGCGGCUGCGGUGGUGGCUCCUCUUUUGGCUCCUGCUGGGAUUUAUCAGCCAUCAUCCUACCCCUUAGAGACGGGGUUUCACCAUGUUCGCCAGGAUGGUCUCCAUCUCUUGACCUCGUGAUCUGCCUGCCUCGGCCUCCCAGUGCUGGGAUUACAGGCGUGAGCCACCGCGCCUGGCCAAAAUAUAUAACCUUAAGUGUAAGUUUACUAACUUUGG